Molecule: long non-coding RNA, 1374 nt
Filed under: Callithrix jacchus (white-tufted-ear marmoset)
Lineage: Eukaryota; Metazoa; Chordata; Mammalia; Primates; Cebidae
Description: lncRNA (ENSCJAG00000081427.1)
Source: RNAcentral
AUGUCAUUCUUGACUCUGACUUUUUUCUGUCUUCUCCUUCAAAUCUUUCACAAAUGCCUAUCAAAUAUAUCUCCUAGAAAUCUCUGGGAUCCUUCAAAGCUUUCCUUGCUUCUGCCAGUCUCCCAGCUGAAUAAAUACAGCACACUUAAGGUUGACAUUCCUGACUCUUCUCUUCUGUCCUUUCAAUCUGAUUGUAGAGGUGAAGUUUCCCCAUGAUGGCCAGGCUGGCCUUGAACUCCUGACCUUAGGUGAUCCUCCUGCCUUGGCCUCCCAAAGUACUAAGAUUACAGGUGUGAGCUACUGCUCCCAGCCUCCUCUUAAAAGUAAGUUCCAGUUUUACAUCAUUCCUUUGCUCAUGCAUAUGAAAUAGGCAAUUAGAAGCAGCUAGGACAAAAAUGGAAUGCUUUGCUGCUUGGGCAUUUUUUUCCACCAGAUACCCCAAAUCUGUAGUCCCCAGGCUUUUGGCACCAGGUACUGGUUUUGUGAAUAACAAUUUUUCCAUGUACUGGGGGUAGGUGAUUCAAGCACAUUAUGUUUAUUGUGUACUUUAUUUCCAUUGUUAUUACAAGAUACAAUGAAAUAAUUAUACAACUUACCAUAACGUAGAAUCAGUGGGAUCCCUGAACUUAUUUUCUUGCAGCUAGAUAGUCCCAUCCAUGGGCAAUGGGAGACAGUGACAGAUCAUCAGGCAUUAGAUUCUCAUAAGGAACACACAACCUAGAUCCCUCAUAGGCACAGCUCACAAUAGGGUUCAUGCUCCUGUCAGAAUUGAAUGCCACUGCUGAUCUGACAGGAGGCCCAGCUCAGGCAGUAAUGUGAAGAAUGGGAAGUGGCUGUAAAUACAGGUAAAGCUUCACUUGCUUGCCUGCUGCUUACCUCCUACUGUGUAGCCUGUUUCUUAACAGGCCACAGACUGAUACUUAUCUGUGGCUCAUUGUUCGGGGACUCAUGCUCUACAUUAUUACUCUCAGGUUCCAAGUUUCACAGAUCCGUAGAGCCCGGGCAUAAUCGAAUGAAGCUCUUUGCCAAAUGUGACCUUUGCUCUAGUUCCCAAUAAGUUUCUCAUCUCCAUCUGAGACCUCCUUAGCCUGGCCUUCACUGACUAUUAACAUUAUGAUUACAACCAUUCAACAAAUCUCUAGAAGUUCCAAAAUUUCCCUCAUCUUCCUGUCACCUUCUGAGUCCUCUAUGCUCUUCCAGCCUCUGCCCAUUACCCUAUUCCAAAGCUGCUUCCACAUUUGUAGGUAUCUUUACAGCAAUAUCCAACUCCUGGUACCAAUUUCUGUAUUAGUUUAUUCUCCCACUGCUAUAAAGUAAUAUGGAAGAUUGGGUAAUUUAUAAAGAAAGGAGGUUUAAUUGGCUCACAGUUCUGUA